GUCUACAGCCAUGCCACCCUGACCGUGUCUGAUACCGUCUGAUCUCGGAAGCUAAGCAGGGUCAGGCCUGGUUAGUACUUGGAUGGGAGACCACCUAGGAAGACCAGGUGCUGUAGGUG
This 119-nucleotide ribosomal RNA is filed under the name Pteropus alecto (black flying fox). The record is from RNAcentral. RNAcentral also lists the same sequence under 1 other name. Lineage: Eukaryota; Metazoa; Chordata; Mammalia; Chiroptera; Pteropodidae.